UUGAUAGAAACCAAAGCAAGAGGUAUAUCACUGUUAAUGAUAACAUUGAAAAAUUUUUCCUAUCAAG
This 67-nucleotide transfer RNA is filed under the name Ocypode ceratophthalmus. RNAcentral's name for it is "tRNA-Asn". Lineage: Eukaryota; Metazoa; Arthropoda; Malacostraca; Decapoda; Ocypodidae. The record is from RNAcentral.